Molecule: ribosomal RNA, 497 nt
Filed under: uncultured bacterium
Lineage: Bacteria
Description: partial 16S ribosomal RNA
Rfam family: Bacterial small subunit ribosomal RNA
Source: RNAcentral
GAUGAACGCUGGCGGCGUGCCUAAUACAUGCAAGUCGAGCGAACGGACGAGGAGCUUGCUCCUCUGACGUUAGCGGCGGACGGGUGAGUAACACGUGGAUAACCUACCUAUAAGACUGGGAUAACUUCGGGAAACCGGAGCUAAUACCGGAUAAUAUAUUGAACCGCAUGGUUCAAUAGUGAAAGACGGUUUUGCUGUCACUUAUAGAUGGAUCCGCGCCGCAUUAGCUAGUUGGUAAGGUAACGGCUUACCAAGGCAACGAUGCGUAGCCGACCUGAGAGGGUGAUCCGCCACACUGGAACUGAGACACGGUCCAGACUCCUACGGGAGGCAGCAGUAGGGAAUCUUCCGCAAUGGGCGAAAGCCUGACGGAGCAACGCCGCGUGAGUGAUGAAGGUCUUCGGAUCGUAAAACUCUGUUAUUAGGGAAGAACAAAUGUGUAAGUAACUAUGCACGUCUUGACGGUACCUAAUCAGAAAGCCACGGCUAACUACGUG